AACUGAUACUACCUGCGGGAACCUGCGGAAGGAUCAUCAUUGAAAACAUUAUUUGCCAAGGGGUUUCUUGUUUUUGGGAGAGGAGAGGGGGGAGCAGAAAAACUCUGCAUCUCGCCGAGGCUUGAUCUGGACGGGGGGCCUCUUGGACAAACAACCAAUCUACAUGACUAGUAACACACACACACACUGGGUUGGUUGGGGGGGGCUAGCAAAAGUUCUUGUCUGACAAGUAGCUUGCUG
Molecule: unclassified non-coding RNA, 240 nt
Filed under: soil metagenome
Description: partial contains 5.8S ribosomal RNA, internal transcribed spacer 2, and large subunit ribosomal RNA
Source: RNAcentral